UAUGAUCCUAUGCUGCCGAGAAAAGCCUCUAGUGAGUGUUGUGGCGGCCCGUACCCUAAACCGACUCAGGUGGUCAGGUAGAGAAUACCAAGGCGAUCGGGUGAACUGUGGUUAAGGAACUCGGCAAAUUGCCCCCGUAACUUCGGGAGAAGGGGGACCUCUGCUGGUGAUGGGCUUUACGUUCUGAGCUGGUGGGGGUCGCAGUGGCCAGGGGGAAGCGACUGUUUACUAAAAACACAGGUCCGUGCGAAGUCGUAAGACGAUGUAUACGGACUGACGCCUGCCCGGUGCCGGAACGUUAAGGGGACCGCUUAGCCAGCUUCGGUUGGCGAAGGUGAGAACUUAAGCGCCGGUAAACGGCGGUGGUAACUAUAACCAUCCUAAGGUAGCGAAAUUCCUUGUCGGGUAAGUUCCGACCUGCACGAAUGGCGUAACGACUUCCCCGCUGUCUCAACCACAGACCCGGCGAAAUUGCACUACGAGUAAAGAUGCUCGUUUCGCGCAGCAGGACGGAAAGACCCCGGGACCUUCACUACAGCUUGACAUUGGCGUUUGGAACGUCUUGUGUAGGAUAGGUGGGAGACUGGGAAGCUGUCACGCUAGUGAUGGUGGAGUCAUUGGUGAAAUACCACUCUGGUCGUUUUGAACGUCUAACUCUGGUCCGUGAUCCGGAUCGGGGACAGCGUCUGGUGGGUAGUUUAACUGGGGCGGUUGCCUCCUAAAGAGUAACGGAGGCGCCCAAAGGUUCCCUCAGCCUGGUUGGCAAUCAGGUGUUGAGUGUAAGUGCACAAGGGAGCUUGACUGUGAGACUGACAGGUCGAGCAGGAGCGAAAGCUGGGACUAGUGAUCCGGCAUCGGCGUGUGGAAGCGGUGUCGCUCAACGGCUAAAAGGUACCCCGGGGAUAACAGGCUGAUCUUCCCCAAGAGUCCAUAUCGACGGGAUGGUUUGGCACCUCGAUGUCGGCUCGUCGCAUCCUGGGGCUGGAGUAGGUCCCAAGGGUUGGGCUGUUCGCCCAUUAAAGCGGUACGCGAGCUGGGUUUAGAACGUCGCGAGACAGUUCGGUCCCUAUCCGCUGCGCGCGCAGGAGACUUGAAGGGGGCUGUCCCUAGUACGAGAGGACCGGGACGGACGAACCUCUGGUGUGCCAGUUGUACCGCCAGGUGCACGGCUGGUUGGCUACGUUCGGAAGGGAUAACCGCUGAAAGCAUCUAAGCGGGAAGCUCGCCUUGAGAUGAGGUCUCCCACCCCGUGAGGGGGUAAGGCUCCCGGUAGAUCACCGGGUUGAUAGGCCGGAGGUGGAAGCACGGUAACGUGUGGAGCUGACCGGUACUAAUAGGCCGAGGACUUGACC
RNAcentral lists this ribosomal RNA (1352 nucleotides) under metagenome. RNAcentral's name for it is "bacterial LSU rRNA". It matches the Rfam family "Bacterial large subunit ribosomal RNA", at positions 1593 to 2925 of the family's 2925-position model. The record is from RNAcentral.